Mytilus californianus (California mussel) is the source of this 351-nucleotide long non-coding RNA. RefSeq lists it as uncharacterized. Lineage: Eukaryota; Metazoa; Mollusca; Bivalvia; Mytilida; Mytilidae. The record is from RefSeq and is a predicted model, not a curated record. The transcript has 3 exons.
UUGCAGUCAUCUGGAAACAUCUUAGUUGUGCAUAAUGUGACCAAUACAACUACGGGAUAUUAUACUUGUAUCGCAACGAACGACGCUGGAACUAGCCAAGCAAAUGUUUUACUUAAAGUUACUUAUGAUGUUCCCCGUAUUAUCACACCUCCUAAAACGACUGUCAUAACGACAGGACAUUCACACAAUUUUACAUGUAUUGCAACUGGGCAUCCACCACCGUCGAUUAUAUGGUCCUUCAAAUCUUUUACACAGCAGUCAACAAAGCUUCCGUCCCAUCAGCUUCAUCAACACGGUAGUUUACUGACACUUUGUGCUAUCAAGACACAUGAAUCUGGAACUCUCUCUUGC